GAUGAACGCUGGCGGCGUGCCUAAUACAUGCAAGUCGAGCGAACGGACGAGAAGCUUGCUUCUCUGAUGUUAGCGGCGGACGGGUGAGUAACACGUGGAUAACCUACCUAUAAGACUGGGAUAACUUCGGGAAACCGGAGCUAAUACCGGAUAAUAUUUUGAACCGCAUGGUUCAAAAGUGAAAGACGGUCUUGCUGUCACUUAUAGAUGGAUCCGCGCUGCAUUAGCUAGUUGGUAAGGUAACGGCUUACCAAGGCAACGAUGCAUAGCCGACCUGAGAGGGUGAUCGGCCACACUGGAACUGAGACACGGUCCAGACUCCUACGGGAGGCAGCAGUAGGGAAUCUUCCGCAAUGGGCGAAAGCCUGACGGAGCAACGCCGCGUGAGUGAUGAAGGUCUUCGGAUCGUAAAACUCUGUUAUUAGGGAAGAUCAUAUGUGUAAGUAACUGUGCACAUCUUGACGGUACCUAAUCAGAAAGCCGCGGCUAACUACGUG
This 497-nucleotide ribosomal RNA is filed under the name uncultured bacterium. RNAcentral's name for it is "partial 16S ribosomal RNA". It matches the Rfam family "Bacterial small subunit ribosomal RNA", at positions 28 to 507 of the family's 1533-position model. The record is from RNAcentral.